This is a long non-coding RNA of Drosophila subobscura, 590 nucleotides long. RefSeq lists it as uncharacterized. NCBI's taxonomy places the organism in Eukaryota, Metazoa, Arthropoda, Insecta, Diptera, Drosophilidae. The transcript is spliced from 2 exons. The record is from RefSeq and is a predicted model, not a curated record.
GAAUUCAUUUUAUGCAGUUUGCUGUGGGGCUAUGGGCGAUGCUUAUUAGUUGCAAUUUGCCUGCUGUGGCCAAAGUUUGCUCGCCAAAAACCAAAACCCAACCAAAAAAACCCAAAACCAAAUAAAUUAAAUAAUUGCUGGCCUAAGAAGUUGAUAGGAUGGGGAAAAAUAAGAGCGGAGGCGGUGGCGGCGGCGGUGGUGGUGGUGGAGGAGGCAGUAAUGUAAGCAAUAUUUGUGUUAUGCAACUUGCGUAUUAAUUAAAAAAGGCGGUGGCGGUGGUGGCGCAGGAGGAGCCGCAGCAGCAGCUGGAGCUGGUGGAAAUAAAAACAAAGGCGGUGGGGCUGGCGUUGACAAAGGUGGAGCCAAGAAAGGACCAGACCAAAAGCCACCCGCAGGCGCUGGCAAAAAGGGAGGCAAGAAAUAGCAGUAGCCCUAAGGCCAAUGUGGCAACAUCAAAGCGCAUUAUAAAAUACCCAUUUAGAAUUAAGUUGAAAUUAAAAGGAUAUCAGGGAAUAUAUAUAUAUGUAUAUGUAUAUAUCUAUAAUGUAUAUCGCUCUAUCAAUUAGCGGAACUGCAUUGCAUUACGUUCA